CUUAGAAGAAUGAGGAUCACGGGUCCCCUAGUCACGUGCCGGUGAUCUCCUACUUUCCUUUUAAGGGGGACGCAGUCCCAAGAAUUUGACUUCACGAGUUCCUUCGCUUGUUCUUAGUUCUGCCCCAGCGUGUGCGCAUCUGCAUCUCUCUCCAUUGCUUUGCAAUGGAAAAUCCAUCGAGACCGGUCACAGGCUACCCCGUCCCCCCGGCGCAAUCCACCGCCAAUACCAAUGGUUAUGCCGCCGCGCAACAUAGCUGCUCCGCAGCCCCAACAGGCGCCGCUUACCCUUACCCUGCGCCGCCCUCCCAGUACAACUACUACGCCGCCAACAUGCACCCCUACCCGCAGUAUUACGCCCCACGCGCCACCUUCUUCCGCCGCUUUCUCGCCGCGAUGAUCGCCGUCUUCGUCAUCAUCGGCACCAUCGUCCUCAUCAUCUGGCUCGUCCUCCGCCCCCGCCUCCCCGAGUUCCGAGUCGACUCGAUCUCCGCCACCGGCUUCAACUUCUCCGUUUCCCAGGUCACCGGAAAAUGGGACGUUGCCUUCACCGUUACAAACCCUAACAAGAAGAUAAGCAUCUCGUACGACAACGUCGAAUCUUUGUUCUCCUACCGAUUAACGCUUCUCGCGGUGACCGCUGUCCCGCCGUUCGGUCAGGGCACCAGGGUUCAGACAGCCUUUAACGCCUCUUUCGCGGCGCAAUCGGUUUACGUUAAUGAGCGUGAUGCGAACGCCAUGAGCGCUGAUCGGAGGGGUGGGUCUGUGAGCUUUAAUGUGAGGGUUCUAUCUAGGGUUUGGUUCAAAACCGGGGCUUGGCGACCCCGAAGGCGGCUGCUGAGGGUUUGGUGCGAAGGCUUGUCAGUCGGAUUUUCAUCAAAUGGUGGUGCCGGAAAAUUGGUCGGUGGACCAAGGGAAUGCGGGGUUGGCCUGUGACGAAUUUAGAACCUCAAAGUUGCUUGACAAUGUUCCUUUUAGGAUUCUGGAGGUGAGGGAUGCACUAUGUACUUGAUCGGAAUAUUAGAUGGUCAUAAGAUCCCUGAUAUUAAGCAUAUUGUAAUGAUCUUGGGAUUACAUUCAUUGUUCGAGGGUGUCCUAUAGUUCUUUGAUCAAACUCUGGUACAUACCCCAAAGAUCACGGUUAGAGCAAGCACGAAUUAAGGGCAUGGGACAUGGGUACGACAUGUCUCAAAUGAGGGGAUCUAUUGUUAUAGGAUUCAUGGUCUAAUUGACAGUUAUAUAAUCUUAAAUUUAUUAUGUAUAGCUGACUAAGUUUUUAUUAUUUAUAAAAGUUUUUAUUAUUUGUAUAAUACUCUACAAAAUUCCAAUAUAAAUGCUCAUGCAUCUUCCUAUUUCUUUUUCA
RNA transcript from Malania oleifera, 1362 nucleotides. It is a transcript of the gene named NDR1/HIN1-like protein 10, with no coding region annotated. The record is from RefSeq and is a predicted model, not a curated record. NCBI's taxonomy places the organism in Eukaryota, Viridiplantae, Streptophyta, Magnoliopsida, Santalales, Ximeniaceae. The transcript has 3 exons.